Galeopterus variegatus (Sunda flying lemur) is the source of this 751-nucleotide long non-coding RNA. RefSeq lists it as uncharacterized. The transcript has 2 exons. NCBI's taxonomy places the organism in Eukaryota, Metazoa, Chordata, Mammalia, Dermoptera, Cynocephalidae. The record is from RefSeq and is a predicted model, not a curated record.
CCUCGUAUGGUUUCCAUUAAACUCGCCAAAACCGUGCACUGAAAACGCAGCCCUGGAGCCGCCCGGGAGCCUCCGGGGUUUUUGCCCUGGCCAGGCUCUUCAGAGAAUCUCGGGCCGAGGAGGUGAAGGCCUCUGUUUACGUUCCCAGCCUAGUACCCAGCGGUCCCGGUCUUAAUGCUGUGAUUACUACGCUUUACUACUCCAGGAAAACCGUUUUCCAUGGUAAUAUUACCAUUCAUUCAUUCAGUAUGCAAGGCUUAGCUUAUGAGAAUUCUGUUUUAAUUCUAAAAAGCAAUGUCCCUUUACAAAGGGUUUACGAAAAUAACGUGGCCACAGAAAUUCAAUUUGACCAGCAGCACUGGUGUGGUUGGGCUAUACCUUCUCUCUUGCCUGUCCCCGAUUCCUCUACCCUCAAAAGGCAAAAACAAAUGUUAGCUUUGGAAAAAUACUCCCUCACAAAUGGGUUAGGGUUUGUGGUCCAAAAAGAGGGAGCAGGCUAUGAUAACUGGAAUGUUCCUUAAAUUCAUCAAAGACCCAAACUUAAAGGAAGAAUUUUCAACAGAAGAUCUACCACCUCAUAAAGAAGAGAUCUUGAUUAAUAACCUGAGGUCACUCAGACCUUGGUCUGGGGAAGAAUGGAGUCUCUUGGUCCCUGGGAGCCACUGCACUUCACUUACUCCAGGGCCUGCUGUAUGGACAUUUGCCUGCUUAGUUGUAGUUAUUCACAAAAUAAACCCCACUUUCUGCAGGA